Molecule: ribosomal RNA, 497 nt
Filed under: uncultured bacterium
Lineage: Bacteria
Description: partial 16S ribosomal RNA
Rfam family: Bacterial small subunit ribosomal RNA
Source: RNAcentral
GAUGAACGCUGGCGGCGUGCCUAAUACAUGCAAGUCGAGCGAACGGACGAGAAGCUUGCCUCUCUGAUGUUAGCGGCGGACGGGUGAGUAACACGUGGAUAACCUACCUAUAAGACUGGGAUAACUUCGGGAAACCGGAGCUAAUACCGGAUGAUAUUUUGAACCGCAUGGUUCAAAAGUGAAAGACGGUCUUGCUGUCACUUAUAGAUGGAUCCGCGCUGCAUUAGCUAGUUGGUAAGGUAACGGCUUACCAAGGCAACGAUGCAUAGCCGACCUGAGAGGGUGAUCGGCCACACUGGAACUGAGACACGGUCCAGACUCCUACGGGAGGCAGCAGUAGGGAAUCUUCCGCAAUGGGCGAAAGCCUGACGGAGCAACGCCGCGUGAGUGAUGAAGGUCUUCGGAUCGUAAAACUCUGUUAUUAGGGAGGAACAUAUGUGUAAGUAACUGUGCACAUCUUGACGGUACCUAAUCAGAAAGCCACGGCUAACUACGUG